UACGUAGGUGGUUUUCUAAGCACGGGGUUUAAGGCAAUGGCUUAACCAUUGUUCGCCUUGUGAACUGGGAGACUUGAGUGCAGGAGAGGAAAGCGGAAUUCCUAGUGUAGCGGUGAAAUGCGUAGAUAUUAGGAGGAACACCGGUGGCGAAAGCGGCUCUCUGGUCUGUAACUGACACUGAGGCUCGAAAGCGUGGGGAGCAAACA
This 206-nucleotide ribosomal RNA is filed under the name uncultured bacterium. RNAcentral's name for it is "partial 16S ribosomal RNA". It matches the Rfam family "Bacterial small subunit ribosomal RNA", at positions 568 to 774 of the family's 1533-position model. The record is from RNAcentral.